CGUAGGGGCAAGCGUUAUCCGGAUUUACUGGGGUGUAAAGGGAGCGUAGACGGCGAUGCAAGUCUGAAGUGAAAUACCCGGGCUCAACCUGGGAACUGCUUUGGAAACUGUGUUGCUAGAGUGCUGGAGAGGUAAGCGGAAUUCCUAGUGUAGCGGUGAAAUGCGUAGAUAUUAGGAAGAACACCAGUGGCGAAGGCGGCUUACUGGACAGUAACUGACGUUGAGGCUCGAAAGCGUGGGGAGCAAACAGGAUU
RNAcentral lists this ribosomal RNA (254 nucleotides) under uncultured bacterium. RNAcentral's name for it is "partial 16S ribosomal RNA". It matches the Rfam family "Bacterial small subunit ribosomal RNA", at positions 526 to 779 of the family's 1533-position model. The record is from RNAcentral.